GGAUUAGAUACCCUGGUAGUCCACGCCGUAAACGAUGCGCACUAGGUUGGAGAAGUUCUGACACUGUUUCCGGCCGAAGCAAAAGUGUUAAGUGCGCCGCCUGGGGAGUACGGUCGCAAGGCUAAAACUCAAAGGAAUUGACGGGGGCUCACACAAGCGGUGGAGCAUGUGGCUUAAUUCGAAGCAACGCGAAGAACCUUAUCCUGGGUUUGACAUGUAUGGAUUAACCCUAUGAAAGUAGGGCUACGCCUUCGGGUGGAACAUACACAGGUGCUGCAUGGCUGUCGUCAGCUCGUGCCG
Molecule: ribosomal RNA, 300 nt
Filed under: uncultured bacterium
Lineage: Bacteria
Description: bacterial SSU rRNA
Rfam family: Bacterial small subunit ribosomal RNA
Source: RNAcentral